GAUGAACGCUGGCGGCGUGCUUAACACAUGCAAGUCGAACGAAGCAUUUAAGACAGAUUACUUCGGUUUGAAGUCUUUUAUGACUGAGUGGCGGACGGGUGAGUAACGCGUGGGUAACCUGCCUCAUACAGGGGGAUAGCAGCUGGAAACGGCUGGUAAUACCGCAUAAGCGCACAGUACCACAUGGUACAGUGUGAAAAACUCCGGUGGUAUGAGAUGGACCCGCGUCUGAUUAGCUUGUUGGCGGGGUAACGGCCCACCAAGGCGACGAUCAGUAGCCGACCUGAGAGGGUGACCGGCCACAUUGGGACUGAGACACGGCCCAGACUCCCACGGGAGGCAGCAGUGGGGAAUAUUGCACAAUGGAGGAAACUCUGAUGCAGCGACGCCGCGUGAGUGAAGAAGUAGUUCGCUAUGUAAAGCUCUAUCAGCAGGGAAGAUAGUGACGGUACCUGACUAAGAAGCUCCGGCUAAAUACGUG
RNAcentral lists this ribosomal RNA (481 nucleotides) under uncultured bacterium. RNAcentral describes it as "partial 16S ribosomal RNA". It matches the Rfam family "Bacterial small subunit ribosomal RNA", at positions 28 to 507 of the family's 1533-position model. The record is from RNAcentral.